UUACGGAAGGCAGCAGUGGGGAAUAUUGCGCAAUGGGGGAAACCCUGAUGCAGCGACGCCGCGUGAGUGAAGAAGUAUUUCGGUAUGUAAAGCUCUAUCAGCAGGGAAGAUAAUGACGGUACCUGACUAAGAAGCCCCGGCUAACUACGUGCCAGCAGCCGCGGUAAUACGUAGGGGGCAAGCGUUAUCCGGAUUUACUGGGUGUAAAGGGAGCGUAGGUGGUAUGGCAAGUCAGAUGUGAAAGCCCAGGGCUCAACCCUGGGACUGCAUUUGAAACUGCCAGACUGGAGUGCAGGAGAGGUAAGUGGAAUUCCUAGUGUAGCGGUGAAAUGCGUAGAUAUUAGGAGGAACACCAGUGGCGAAGGCGGCUUACUGGACUGUAACUGACUCUGAGGCUCGAAAGCGUGGGGAGCAAACAGGAUUAGAUACCCUGGUAGG
RNAcentral lists this ribosomal RNA (438 nucleotides) under uncultured bacterium. Its description in RNAcentral is "bacterial SSU rRNA". It matches the Rfam family "Bacterial small subunit ribosomal RNA", at positions 339 to 794 of the family's 1533-position model. The record is from RNAcentral.